This is a small nuclear RNA of Zalophus californianus (California sea lion), 106 nucleotides long. Lineage: Eukaryota; Metazoa; Chordata; Mammalia; Carnivora; Otariidae. The record is from Ensembl.
GUGCUUGCUUUGGCAGCACGUGUACUAAAACUGGAACGACACAGAGAAGUUGGCAUUGCCUCUGCCCAAGGAUGCCCUGCAAAGUCACGAAGCGUUCCAUAUUUUU